UACGUAGGGGGCAAGCGUUGUCCGGAUUUAUUGGGCGUAAAGAGCGUGUAGGCGGCCAAGCAGGUCAGCUGUGAAAACUCGAGGCUCAACCUCGAGACGUCGGUUGAAACCGCUUGGCUAGAGUCCGGAAGAGGAGAGUGGAAUUCCCGGUGUAGCGGUGAAAUGCGCAGAUAUCGGGAAGAACACCCGUGGCGAAAGCGGUUCUCUGGGCCUUACCUGACGCUGAGGAGCGAAAGCGUGGGGAGCGAACAGG
RNAcentral lists this ribosomal RNA (253 nucleotides) under uncultured bacterium. Its description in RNAcentral is "partial 16S ribosomal RNA". It matches the Rfam family "Bacterial small subunit ribosomal RNA", at positions 524 to 776 of the family's 1533-position model. The record is from RNAcentral.